This 447-nucleotide ribosomal RNA is filed under the name uncultured bacterium. RNAcentral's name for it is "SSU rRNA". It matches the Rfam family "Bacterial small subunit ribosomal RNA", at positions 26 to 518 of the family's 1533-position model. The record is from RNAcentral.
AGAGCGAACGCUGGCGGCAGGCUUAACACAUGCAAGUCGAGCGGGCGUAGCAAUACGUCAGCGGCAGACGGGUGAGUAACGCGUGGGAACAUACCUUUGGUUCGGAACAACACAGGGAAACUUGUGCUAAUACCGGAUAAGCCCUUACGGGGAAAGAUUUAUCGCCGAAAGAUUGGCCCGCGUCUGAUUAGCUAGUUGGUGAGGUAACGGCUCACCAAGGCGACGAUCAGUAGCUGGUCUGAGAGGAUGAUCAGCCACAUUGGGACUGAGACACGGCCCAAACUCCUACGGGAGGCAGCAGUGGGGAAUAUUGGACAAUGGGCGCAAGCCUGAUCCAGCCAUGCCGCGUGAGUGAUGAAGGCCCUAGGGUUGUAAAGCUCUUUUGUGCGGGAAGAUAAUGACGGUACCGCAAGAAUAAGCCCCGGCUAACUUCGUGCCAGCAGCCGC